This 541-nucleotide long non-coding RNA is filed under the name Homo sapiens (human). RNAcentral's name for it is "long intergenic non-protein coding RNA 1002". Lineage: Eukaryota; Metazoa; Chordata; Mammalia; Primates; Hominidae. The record is from RNAcentral.
GACUCUGAAGAACGGCGUGGGAUGGUUCCUUUCAAAUGCACUUGAGCAGCGGUCUCCAACCACAGGGCCACAGAGCUGGAGCUGGAUCUACCAUGAAAGACUUGUGAAUCCAGGAAGAGAGACUGACUGGGCAACAUGUUAUUCAGGUGGGAACAUCCAGUUGCAGGAAAACAAGCUUAACACGCCCACUGAUUCUACAUUAUGCUCCUACCUCCCGGCAGCCUCUCCAGGCCCAGAACUUUCUCCAGUCAGCCUCUACAGACCAAGCUCAUGACUCUCAAUGGCCUAUUUAGGCCCAUACCCUACGUCACGGCAGCCUCCGCAGAUGAGGCUACUGCCUCACAACAGCCUCCACAGGCACAGCUCCAUCGUUACAAUGGCCUCUUUAGACCCAGCUCCUGCCUCCCAGCCUUCUCUCCAGGCCCUGAACUUUCUCAGGUCUCCCUCUGUUGUCCAAGGCUGGAGUGUAGUAGUGCUAUCGCAGCUGACUGCAGCCUCAACCUUCCAGGCUGAAGCGAUCCUCCCACCUCAACCUCCCACG